AAAAACAGGAAGGAUCAUGUAGACAUCAUUUGGAGUUAAAGAUCAUUUUAAAUUCCUUCUCAGCGUCUUUAUUUAAAUUCUUAGCCUGACUUUAAUAAAGUUAAUAAUUUUUUCGUUUCUGUGACAUCCUAAUGUGUUGAAGCCUGAUGAUAAACGCUGACAGCUCUGUGAGUGUGGUUGGUCACUUACGCCUGUAUUUCCUAUAUUUUAUGCAUCAAAAACUUUUCCCGGCUUCUCUGCUCUCUCUGUUCCUCCUGAUGAACGCAAAACUGAAUUUAACAACCAAAAUCAUAUUUUUUUAUUCUUUCUCCUAAAACACCCGGUAAACGUUACUUUCAAACUGAACAAAAUUAAUUUGUUAAUGUUUUUUGUCUUUAGCAAAAUUUUGUGUGAGUCACAGCAACCUGCAGUGUGUUUUCAUGAUAAUGAAGAAUCAACAUCACCUCUUCAUAACACCAGCUACAUAUACUCAGAAGCACAAGACACUUCUCUUUUGGCUAAUAAUAGUGUUCAUGCUGUGAGAACAUGUUUGCUUUGAGCUUUGUGGUGAAGCGCGUCAGUGUGGAAAAAAAUGGCAACAUUGUGGUCGUUUACUUUUCUUGUUCUCAGAGGCACCUCGCUGUUCUGUGUGAUCGUUGGCAAAAGCUGCAUAAAAGUAAUUAAUAUCACAGCACUGUUGCAGUUGUAACUGCAAUAAUUAAAUGUAUUUUAUUCUGCAGAGAGUGAAGCAGCUGCAGUUGAUUCAUCUGUGAGAACUGAAUAUGUCAGUUAUUUACCAAACACCAUCAGAACAUGGUCCAGACUUUAAACCAGAGCCAGAUGUCGUCUACUCUUCACUGAAGUAGUCCACCAGUCCAACCACUGAUGUCCAGCUGCUGGCCUCUAACUGGUCCCCCCAGCACCUCAGACCAGAGGACAUCCACAUGCUAACAAGACUUCUGUGGGUUUCACAAAGGGAAAACUGGACUUCUGGUUUGGUUCUGGCCUAACAACACACACGUUUCUUAACUGAAGAAAACAAAGAAUAAAGACUAAACCACAACCUCAGCCUAAAAACAACCGGAGCAUCAACCAGUGUCUUUAAAUCUUCAUUUAUUUGUGUUUGAGACGGAAGAGUUUUGCCUCUUUGUUUCCUCAGUCAGCUAGAAACCAACCAGCAGCCACUAGCAUGGUGAAAAAGUUUUAUAACUGUUUCACUUAUUUAUUUGUAUCACUUUCACCUCUUCUUAAAGUCAAUAAAGAGGUUUUGUUUUUUUUUCUACUGA
Molecule: long non-coding RNA, 1265 nt
Organism: Haplochromis burtoni (Burton's mouthbrooder)
Lineage: Eukaryota; Metazoa; Chordata; Actinopteri; Cichliformes; Cichlidae
Exons: 2
Source: RefSeq, a predicted model, not a curated record